This 464-nucleotide ribosomal RNA is filed under the name uncultured bacterium. RNAcentral's name for it is "partial 16S ribosomal RNA". It matches the Rfam family "Bacterial small subunit ribosomal RNA", at positions 339 to 795 of the family's 1533-position model. The record is from RNAcentral.
CUACGGGGUGCUGCAGUGGGGAAUAUUGCACAAUGGGCGCAAGCCUGAUGCAGCCAUGCCGCGUGUAUGAAGAAGGCCUUCGGGUUGUAAAGUACUUUCAGCGGGGAGGAAGGGAGUAAAGUUAAUACCUUUGCUCAUUGACGUUACCCGCAGAAGAAGCACCGGCUAACUCCGUGCCAGCAGCCGCGGUAAUACGGAGGGUGCAAGCGUUAAUCGGAAUUACUGGGCGUAAAGCGCACGCAGGCGGUUUGUUAAGUCAGAUGUGAAAUCCCCGGGCUCAACCUGGGAACUGCAUCUGAUACUGGCAAGCUUGAGUCUCGUAGAGGGGGGUAGAAUUCCAGGUGUAGCGGUGAAAUGCGUAGAGAUCUGGAGGAAUACCGGUGGCGAAGGCGGCCCCUUGGACAAAGACUGACGCUCAGGUGCGAAAGCGUGGGGAGCAAACAGAAUUAGAUACCCUUGUAGUC